RNAcentral lists this ribosomal RNA (460 nucleotides) under uncultured bacterium. RNAcentral's name for it is "partial 16S ribosomal RNA". It matches the Rfam family "Bacterial small subunit ribosomal RNA", at positions 338 to 795 of the family's 1533-position model. The record is from RNAcentral.
CCUACGGGUGGCAGCAGUGAGGAAUAUUGGUCAAUGGGCGGAAGCCUGAACCAGCCAAGUAGCGUGCAGGAUGACUGCCCUAUGGGUUGUAAACUUCUUUUAUAUGGGAAUAAAAUGUUCCACGUGUGGGAUUUUGUAUGUACCAUAUGAAUAAGGAUCGGCUAACUCCGUGCCAGCAGCCGCGGUAAUACGGAGGAUCCGAGCGUUAUCCGGAUUUAUUGGGUUUAACGGGAGCGUAGGUGGAUUGUUAAGUCAGUUGUGAAAGUUUGCGGCUCAACCGUAAAAUUGCAGUUGAAACUGGCAGUCUUGAGUACAGUAGAGGUGGGCGGAAUUCGUGGUGUAGCGGUGAAAUGCUUAGAUAUCACGAAGAACUCCGAUUGCGAAGGCAGCUCACUGGACUGCAACUGACACUGAGGCUCGAAAGUGUGGGUAUCAAACAGGAUUAGAUACCCCAGUAGUC